GGAAGCCCGGCGAGUCGCUGGGGGAAGCAGAGCAGACACCCGGCUCGGCCCGAGCGCAGGGCGCGGAUCCCACGAGUCGGAGCCGGCGGAUCCGAGCCGGUACAUCGGAGCCAGAGCUUGGAGAAACCGGGCCCUCCAUGCUCCCAGGACGCAAUCUCUUUCCCCUGAAAGAAAGGGUCACCCACCUCCUAGAGAGCAAAACAGCUACGUUUUCGCUUCCGAAAUGGGCCCUUCCUUCUGGCCGCAGGUCUAGAGGUCCCCACCCUGUGCCUGUCUCCCUGCCUUGGAAGUGACAGCUGGGGAGCCUGAGGCCUGCAAGACCACUCAGGGGGCUGGAUCGACAGCCCCAGCCCUCCAGUGUGCCUGCCUGGCAGGAGUUCUCAGCAGAAAGCCUGGGG
RNAcentral lists this long non-coding RNA (398 nucleotides) under Heterocephalus glaber (naked mole-rat). RNAcentral's name for it is "lncRNA (ENSHGLG00100039664.1)". The record is from RNAcentral. Lineage: Eukaryota; Metazoa; Chordata; Mammalia; Rodentia; Bathyergidae.